UACGUAGGGCGCGAGCGUUGUCCGGAAUUAUUGGGCGUAAAGAGCUCGUAGGCGGCUUGUCACGUCGGUUGUGAAAGCCCGGGGCUUAACCCCGGGUCUGCAGUCGAUACGGGCAGGCUAGAGUGUGGUAGGGGAGAUCGGAAUUCCUGGUGUAGCGGUGAAAUGCGCAGAUAUCAGGAGGAACACCGGUGGCGAAGGCGGGUCUCUGGGCCGAUACUGACGCUGAGGAGCGAAAGCGUGGGGAGCGAACAGG
RNAcentral lists this ribosomal RNA (253 nucleotides) under uncultured bacterium. RNAcentral describes it as "partial 16S ribosomal RNA". It matches the Rfam family "Bacterial small subunit ribosomal RNA", at positions 524 to 776 of the family's 1533-position model. The record is from RNAcentral.